GCGACUCCUGCGCAAGCGCAGAGUGAAGGGCCGGGAACAGUGGAGGGUGCGAGGAAGACAAUGGGGGAGGACCCUGAGGCGGCCUCUGUGAGCCGACAGGAACACGUGGUCGAUCAGAGAGAGACUCGUAAGUGCACGGAGCUGAUGAGGAGGUUCGUGAACGGAUGGGGAGGACCCUGAAAAGCACUGUGGAAUACAGGUUUCUAGUAACUUCAAAAUCACAUCAUUUGGACUGGGUAAGAAUUGCUGAAACUUUAAUGAAAAGACUGACUGGCUUAUAAAACUGCUAACCCAAAUAGAAUAAAAAUUAAUUGAAUACCGAGGAAAUGCUUCACCAGGUUUGCAUACUUAAUCAGCCUAUACUGAAAUUGUUUAGAUAUACAAUUUGAAUGAACUCCAUGGUCUAAGUCAAAUUACCUGUGAUAACCCAUCAGUUAUCCAUGCUAUGUGCCCAAUUUGGAGAAACAACUGGCACCCAAGAGGACAUAAGUCCGAUGUUAAGCAUGGACUCAUGGAGAACCAAGAUGGCUGCCUUGUCCUUCGUGAGUCCUUAAAGCUUUUGUUAUUAAAAGUUAUGCAUUCCAUGACUCAUCCUGGAAAAGAUAAAAUGAUCCAAAUUAAAUAUGUUGGUGUGGUGACUUACAGAUUGUUAAAAUAGUUUAUAAACAAUGUUUAGUUUGUCAAACCCAUACUCCUGGGAAGUCAAUCAAAGCUUCAUGUACAUUUGGCUACCUGAUGAGGCAUUUAAACAUUUAUAAAGGGGUUUCAUUCAGUUGUCAUUUUCAAUGUAUGUGUUCUGGUUGUACUAAAGCUUUCCCAUGCAGGAGGGCUAAUGUUAUAACAGUAGAUUACUAUGUAUCAGUGUAUUUUCACCAGGUAAAGAGCUUUUUAUGGUUCACUGAGGACAAUCAACCCCUUCACAAUCUAGAACCCAAAGAUGGGAUCUUCUGAGAACAUCAGAGAAACGCUGCCCUUGGCAUCAUCACUGCAACAAAACAUCAGGAUCUUGAACCUUGGGGUCAUAAUCUCACAACUGAGCAGGGUCACUCUUGGAACUCUACAUCCAUUGAAACCCUUAAGGUAAAGCUAAUCAGGGAAGUUUCUCCCCAGAAGAAGAUGGCAUCCUUGAUGUGAGCAGCUCUUUCUGAAGAUCAUGGAUCAAGACUUCUUACUAUCAUGAGACUCUUAUCUUUGAAUGUUUUUCCGUUGCUUCCGCCUCUGUGAACAACAGAAGUGAGAAGGGGGUCUGUUUUGUGCACUUAUGGGGUAUACUUUUAUUUGUGAAGGGCUUUGCAGCCAGCUUUAUACAUGGAUAAUCUUAUAACUUGAUAGAUAAAGAUGAAGGCCCAGUGUAUCAUAGGUGAGAAACUUCAAUGGUACAUAUGGUGCCUCAUAAUCAUUCAGAAGCAGAACAUUGGUUCACUCCUCUUAACCCACAGCAUGGGUUAAAGAGACCAUUGCCAAGAGGCCUUCCCUCUUCUAGAAGGGCAUCAUUUGUUAGGUCCUUUUUCCAUGGUUUGGAAUUAAAAAGGCAAUGACUAGAAACAUAUCCCUCAUGGUAGACUCUGUAGCAGAUUCUACUGUAAAGGCUACACAACAGAUGUUAAAUUCUCUUGUGAAAGUUAUGCUAAAAAAUAGAAUUGGCUAAACAGGAAAGUACCUGUGCAGAUGCUGGCACUUAAGGCCUAUGGAGAAAACAUCAGGUGUUAUAGAGAGUCUGUUGUAGGGAAUUAACGAAAAGACCACUGAGUUAAGUCAAAGAAUGGUCUAUUUGAGUUUAGGUGGUCUGGUUUAUGGGGACCCUGGCUAAGGAGCAUACUCCAAAUUCUUGGUGUUAACCCUCUCAGUAGUCAUAAGAAUAGUCUCCCUGGUGCACUGUAUUCUCUCAAAGGUUUUAAAUGUUUGCAUGAAGCCAUCUUUAGAACGUCAGAUGGUCUCUCUUCAACUGGAAUGACAAGAGCUGAAAGAAAUGUGUGACCACGAGGACACCGAAACCGAUGAGUGACAUGCUGAGACUGGAAAUCCAAAAUGAUAGUAACGGAGAGUGGCGCUAACAUCCUAAGUUUUGGUCACACUCUUGCCUAAGUGACAACCUGACAAAGGGGGAAUUUUUUAAACAAAAUGAUGGGAGGCCAUUGUUUUGGACUGAGCACUAGGUCCCAACAGACCAAACCGAACCAAAAUGGCAUCAUUCGUGCUAAAUGUGACAUAAUCGAAUUAAGACUUUAAGGAAACACAUGGGUCCUAGAAUAGACCAGGUUUUGUUUUUCUCUUGCAAACAGGACUUUCCAGCAUAAGGUGGUAUCCUCAACUCAGUCCUUGUUCCUACCUUUGCAAAACUCACUGUUCUGCUUCCUAGUGGGUUUCAAGACCAAUGGUGACAGUGACAUCAAUAACUCAAGUUUCGAUCAAUCUCUCAAAACUGAUAAAAUGACCAAAAAGGGGGAAUUGUUAAAGCGAACUAAAUAUGGCCUGAGAAGGACUCCGUACUUCUGUAUUGGAGUCCCUGUGAACAAACUGAGCCUAACUUAAUAGGUAGACAAGAUUGAAAACCUAAAUUAGGAGUAUGUACCUGUCACAAUUGCUGAGUCUCGGCCAGUCCCAGCAGCCGUACUUCAAUCACUCAUACACUGCUGAAUGUUCAAACUGUGUGUAAAUAAGGCAAAUGCCAACCUGUAACUAAUCCAGGUGUUUCUCUACCUCACUUCCCUUUUUUUGUCUAUAAAUCUUCCACCACGUGGCUGCACUGGAGUCUCUCUGAAUCUGCUGUAAUUCUGGGGGCUGCCCGAUGUGCAAAUCAUUCAUUGCUCAAUUAAACUCCUUUAAAUUUAAUUCAGCUGAAGUUUUC
This 2848-nucleotide long non-coding RNA is filed under the name Homo sapiens (human). Its description in RNAcentral is "HSALNT0338816". The record is from RNAcentral. Lineage: Eukaryota; Metazoa; Chordata; Mammalia; Primates; Hominidae.